This 23-nucleotide ribosomal RNA is filed under the name Postia sp. 1 KUC20130808-38. RNAcentral's name for it is "partial 28S ribosomal RNA". The record is from RNAcentral. Lineage: Eukaryota; Fungi; Basidiomycota; Agaricomycetes; Polyporales; Postiaceae.
CUGACCUCAAAUCAGGUAGGAUU